AUCACAUGUUGAUCAUAUCAACAUGUUUCUAUACUACAUCUAAUGUAUAUAUUAAACAAUAGAUCAGAUCUAUUACCUUACAAGUUAGAUGUUCUAACCUUGUUGAUCCGGGCUUGAGGAUGAUGUUAUAAAUCACAUAUGCAUCCGAUCUCUAGGAGUCAUCCACACAAGCUCACGAAUCUCGAUCAGAAGUCCUGCUCCAGAAAAUCAGCACAGUAUGCUAGUACUGCACUGAUCCUUCUUUGAUGGUU
Molecule: long non-coding RNA, 251 nt
Filed under: Elaeis guineensis (African oil palm)
Lineage: Eukaryota; Viridiplantae; Streptophyta; Magnoliopsida; Arecales; Arecaceae
Description: long non-coding RNA (EGUI_LNC056118)
Source: RNAcentral